RNAcentral lists this ribosomal RNA (868 nucleotides) under uncultured archaeon. RNAcentral describes it as "bacterial SSU rRNA". It matches the Rfam family "Archaeal small subunit ribosomal RNA", at positions 1 to 878 of the family's 1478-position model. The record is from RNAcentral.
CUCCCAUUGAUCCUGCCGGACCCGACUGCUAUCAGAGUGGGACUAAGCCAUGCGAGUCAACGUAGCAAUACGUGGCAUACGGCUCAGUAACACGUAGUCAACAUGCCCAGGGGACGAGGAUAACCUCGGGAAACUGAGGAUAAACCUCGAUAGGCCAUGAUUUCUGGAAUGAUUCUUGGCUCAAACCUAUAUGGCCCCUGGAUUGGACUGCGGCCGAUCAGGCUGUUGGUGAGGUAAUGGCCCACCAAACCUAUUACCGGUACGGGCUCUGAGAGGAGGAGCCCGGAGAUGGGCACUGAGACAAGGGCCCAGGCCCUAUGGGGCGCAGCAGGCGCGAAACCUCUGCAAUAGGCGAAAGCUUGACAGGGUUACUCUGAGUGAUUUCCGCUAAGGGAAUCUUUUGGCACCUCUAAAAAUGGUGCAGAAUAAGGGGUGGGCAAGUCUGGUGUCAGCCGCCGCGGUAAUACCAGCACCCCGAGUGGUCGGGACGAUUAUUGGGCCUAAAGCAUCCGUAGCCGGUCCUGCAAGUCUUCCGUUAAAUCCAGCUGCUCAACAGAUGGGCUGCGGGAGAUACUACAGGGCUAGGAGGCGGGAGAGGCAAGCGGUACUUUAUGGGUAGGGGUAAAAUCCGCUGAUCCAUAGAAGACCACCAGUGGCGAAGGCGGCUUGCCAGAACGCGCUCGACGGUGAGGGAUGAAAGCUGGGGGAGCAAACCGGAUUAGAUACCCGGGUAGUCCCAGCUGUAAACGAUGCAGACUCGGUGAUGGGUUGGCCUCGCGCCUGCCCAGUGCCGCAGGGAAGCCGUUAAGUCUGCCGCCUGGGGAGUACGGUCGCAAGACUGAAACUUAAAGGAAUUGGCGGGGGAGCA